This 327-nucleotide ribosomal RNA is filed under the name Escherichia coli. RNAcentral's name for it is "bacterial SSU rRNA". It matches the Rfam family "Bacterial small subunit ribosomal RNA", at positions 1 to 324 of the family's 1533-position model. RNAcentral also lists the same sequence under 1 other name. The record is from RNAcentral. Lineage: Bacteria; Pseudomonadati; Pseudomonadota; Gammaproteobacteria; Enterobacterales; Enterobacteriaceae.
AAAUUGAAGAGUUUGAUCAUGGCUCAGAUUGAACGCUGGCGGCAGGCCUAACACAUGCAAGUCGAACGGUAACAGGAAGCAGCUUGCUGUUUCGCUGACGAGUGGCGGACGGGUGAGUAAUGUCUGGGAAACUGCCUGAUGGAGGGGGAUAACUACUGGAAACGGUAGCUAAUACCGCAUAACGUCGCAAGACCAAAGAGGGGGACCUUCGGGCCUCUUGCCAUCGGAUGUGCCCAGAUGGGAUUAGCUAGUAGGUGGGGUAACGGCUCACCUAGGCGACGAUCCCUAGCUGGUCUGAGAGGAUGACCAGCCACACUGGAACUGAGA